GAGUUUGAUCCUGGCUCAGAUUGAACGCUGGUGGCAUGCUUAACACAUGCAAGUCGAACGGUAACGACUGCGACAAUCCCUUCGGGGUGCGUUGCAAGGCGACGAGUGGCGGACGGGUGAGUAACGCGUAGGAAUCUGCCUGUCAGCGGGGGAUAGCCCGGGGAAACUCGGAUUAAUACCGCAUACGCCCUGCGGGAGCAAUCUUGCGGGGGAAAGCUGGGGACCUUCGGGCCUGGCACUGACAGAUGAGCCUGCGUCUGAUUAGCUUGUUGGUGGGGUAAAGGCCUACCAAGGCGACGAUCAGUAGCUGGUCUGAGAGGACGACCAGCCACACUGGAACUGAGACACGGUCCAGACUCCUACGGGAGGCAGCAGUGGGGAAUAUUGGACAAUGGGGGCAACCCUGAUCCAGCAAUGCCACGUGUGUGAAGAAGGCCUGCGGGUUGUAAAGCACUUUCAGUAGGGAAAAAAGUUUCAGUGCGAAUAACACUGAAAUGUGAUGUUAACUACAGAAGAAGCACCGGCUAAUUCCGUGCCAGCAGCCGCGGUAAUACGGGAGGUGCGAGCGUUAAUCGGAAUUACUGGGCGUAAAGCGCGCGUAGGUGGUCAAAUAAGUUGGAUGUGAAAGCCCCGGGCUUAACCUGGGAAUUGCAUUCAAAACUGCUUGACUAGAGUUCAGAAGAGGGAGAUGGAAUUCCGGGUGUAGCGGUGAAAUGCGUAGAUAUCCGGGGGAACACCAGUGGCGAAGGCGGUCUCCUGGUCUGACACUGACACUGAGGUGCGAAAGCAUGGGGAGCAAACUGGAUUAGAUACCCUGGUAGUCCAUGCUGUAAACGAUGUCAACUAGCUGUUUGGGAUUCUCAUUUGCAGAUACUGAGUAGCGCAGCUAACGCGAUAAGUUGACCGCCUGGGAAGUACGGCCGCAAGGUUGAAACUCAAGGGAAUUGACGGGGGCCCGCACAAGCGGUGGAGCAUGUGGUUUAAUUCGAUGCAACGCGAAGAACCUUACCUGCCCUUGACUUCUCCAGAAGAUUGUAGAGAUACGAUUGUGCCUUCGGGAACUGGAUGACAGGUGCUGCAUGGCUGUCGUCAGCUCGUGUCGUGAGAUGUUGGGUUAAGUCCCGCAACGAGCGCAACCCUUAUCCCUUGUUACCAGCGGUUCGGCCGGGGACUCUAGGGAGACUGCCGAGUGAUAAACCGGAGGAAGGUGGGGACGACGUCAAGUCAUCAUGGCCCUUAUGGGCAGGGCUACACACGUGCUACAAUGGGCGGUACAACGGGUCGCGAACCUGCGAAGGGGAGCUAACCCUCUAAAGCCGCUCUCAGUCCGGAUUGGAGUCUGCAACUCGACUCCAUGAAGUCGGAAUCGCCAGUAAUCGCGGAUCAGCAAUGUCGCGGUGAAUACGUUCUCGGGCCUUGUACACACCGCCCGUCACACCAUGGGAGUUGGUUGCACCAGAAGUGGGUAGUCUAACCAUUGGAGGACGCUCACCACGGUGUGAUUAAUGACUGGGGUGAAGUCGUAACAAGGUAACCGUA
Molecule: ribosomal RNA, 1539 nt
Filed under: uncultured bacterium
Lineage: Bacteria
Description: bacterial SSU rRNA
Rfam family: Bacterial small subunit ribosomal RNA
Source: RNAcentral